ACUAAAAGGACUGGUCAUGUUGCAGGGUUCAGAAUGUUGGUGCUGGUGGUACAGGGAAGGAGGAGAAGACAUGCAUGCAGUCCCUGCUACCACAGCUCACACAGUCUGGUUUCCCACGUGUUGGUAAAUCAGAGGGGUUGUCGUGCUCAAGGUGCAAGAAGUGGAUGGAAAAAGGCAACCAGCUCUAACAACGCUGUCGUGUGUUUCCCUUGCCAGCCAGAUUUUUUUCCUGUUGCUGUUGUACCCAGCCCUGAAAGUAGAGGAAAGUGCUCGGUGAUGUCCCUCCAACACUGCCUGCACCUUGGUGGGCUUUGGCUGCUGCACCAACAGCACAGGCACUGUGGGGAGCAAGGUUUGGAAAUGGGCCCUCAAGGCUCUUGGACCGGGGGAACAUUCCUGAGCUAUUGCUGCUGCACAGCUCAGCCCGUGGAAAGUGCUGACCAGAGAGACCUGGUCAGAUCCACCAGAGGUAACAAACUGCUGUGGCUUUGAAACAAGAAACUGCACAUCUUCACCAGGAUGCGUUUUGCCUUGAGAGCUGGAAAGAAAAGGUCGUGAACAUUAAAAGCAUUUACGAAAUACCAUGGAUUGCUUUUCUGUAGCAAAGCAGCGUGCUUUGGAAACAGCGCUGUGCCACACUACCUGUGUGACUUCGGUGAUGUGCUGCAAGAGAAGCGGUUUCAUUUGGACAAGUGGACGUCAGCUCAGCACCCAUAGCAUCUUCACUGCAAGCAGACAUGUAAGUAAGAGCAAAAAGCUUGGUUUGGGGUAUUUGCUGAAGCUGUAGGCAAAUAUGCAGCUGUAAUGUUGAGAUCAGGGUGCCCCUACUCCUGAACCUGCUCGCAGUCUGGACUGGCAGUAAACCUUUGUGCUUGCAGCUUUGCAUCAUAUCCUCUCUCUCUCCCCCUCUCUCUCCCAGAGCAGAGCUGCUCGGCUUUUGCAUAUUUUUGUUCCCUUGUCUGCCUGUUUUUCUCGUAUGUGUGGGCUGAAGAUUUGGUCAUGCUGUGCCUGCAAGCUCACCCAUACAAGCACCCACAGGACAGACAGGAAAGAGCAGGAAGGCGGUGGUGUUCCUGGAAAUGUAGCUCUUGGGCUGCAGUUACGCAUAGGAACUUGAUGCGUGUGCUGGUGUGGUUCUACAUAUGACAGGAGGCAUCACUCCCAGUCACUAAUAGGUCUGGAUGCCUGCUGCAAUAACCCGUUCUCUUGGUUAUACCCGCACUCGUGUGCUACCUAGAAAUACAUCACUCAGCUGCCUUACCUGUGAAACACCAGUGGGCUUCUGGAGAGAGUGCUCUGCUUUGCAGGGGAAAAGCACUGGGCUCCUUCUCCCUGGGGGUGCUUUCUCCCUCCAUGCCAAGAGAAAGCCAGGGCAGGAACCUGCUCGUCUCCUCAGUUCAGCCUUCUGCAGUGGGCAGCACGUGGCCGGGGCUCCCUCCCUUUGGAACCCACCCUCUGCGCUACUUCCACGUGCUCUGAAACGCUUCUUAAGGUGCUGACAGCAUGCUUGGGAGGUCUGCUUGGAGAAUGAGGCUGGGGUUGGAGCUGAGCAAAGCUCAGGGACAGAAAGCAUUUUAAAACCACGUCUCACAGAAGACUUGAUCUGAGCUCCAUUUGCAGCACUUGCAAGGCAGCAUUUUGUCAGCAUUGAACCUCCAGCUGCUCCGUAAUCAUCUCAAUCAGCUCAGAUGGAGGACACAAAGCCAGGGGGAGGUGGGAUGUUUCCUGCACAGGCCUCUCUGUGGUUCCACACCUCUGUCCUGCUGCUCUGCUGCCAAGCUGGAGCCCCACCCCAGCGAUUCAUGCUCAGCCUUUGGGAGAAGAGUGAGACCGCUCUGAGGAAAAUGAUUUAAAAUGCCUUCAGGUGCCUU
Molecule: long non-coding RNA, 1871 nt
Organism: Numida meleagris (helmeted guineafowl)
Lineage: Eukaryota; Metazoa; Chordata; Aves; Galliformes; Numididae
Exons: 4
Source: RefSeq, a predicted model, not a curated record